UCAACCAUCUUAGUCUGUUGCUAUCUGCACAUUUAGGCAAUCUCUCUCUUCACAUUCUGCUAUGACUGCAUUCAGCAUCAUGACUCUCAGAUUAAACAGAAUCACAUGUAGCAUAUUAGCAACCUGUGUUGUGCUGAUCAGUAAUUAAGGCUCUUUGUUACUGAGAACCUGAUUUCAUGGAAAAUUCAUAAGGAUUUAAAUGAUAAAGGGUCUUUGUUGGUCACUUAUACAUUACAGCACAGUGAAAUUAUUUUCUUUGUAUACCCCAGCAUGCCAGGAAGAUGGGGUCAGAGCACAAGGUCAGCCAUGAUACAGUGUCCCUGAAGCCCAACAGGGGCAGCUUGGUAGCACAGGGACUUGAACCCCUGACCAUCAGUAACCCAAAGCCUUAACCGCUGAGCCACCACUGCCCUUAAGCAAGAUCAGUUGUUUAAUUUUAUACAAGAAACUUAUUAUCAUCCACUCAUCUAUACACUGAGCAGCCUGUGGUUGUGGAUUUAAUACAUCCAUAGUGGUCAUGGACACUCCCUAUUCAAAUAGAGUCGGGUAUAAACAGCAUGUUCUUGGCUGUUUUAGUUUCCAGUGAGCUCUGUGAUAACACUCCCAUACACUUUAAAUCUGGGUGAAGCAGAACUCAGAAGGAUGAUUUUAGGACAUUGUAUUUUAUUUCUUCUCAUUUCAUAUUCUUAUGGACAGUCCCUGAUCUCCUCUGCUUCUGUGGUGAAGAGACCUGGAGAGUCAGUCACUCUGUCCUGUACUGUCUCCGGAUUCUCAAUGAGCAGCUACUACAUGAGCUGGAUCCGUCAGAAACCUGGAAGAGGACUGGAAUGGAUUGGAUACAUUGACACUGGCACUAGCACAACAUUCGCUCAGUCUCUGCAGGGCCAGUUCUCCAUCACUAAAGACACCAAUAAAAACAUGCUGUACCUAGAAGUGAAGAGUCUGAAAGCUGAAGACACGGCUGUUUAUUACUGUGCACGACACUCACACUGACACAACAGACUCCAGAGCUGUACAAAAACUUACACAAGCACAUCCUCAUGAGUUGUAAAUAUUCCCUCAGCAGGAAACUGAACCCCAGAGACAAUUUAUUAUAAACAACA
Molecule: non-coding RNA, 1103 nt
Organism: Ictalurus furcatus (blue catfish)
Lineage: Eukaryota; Metazoa; Chordata; Actinopteri; Siluriformes; Ictaluridae
Source: the annotation of a RefSeq genome assembly